This is a long non-coding RNA of Zerene cesonia (dogface butterfly), 356 nucleotides long. RefSeq lists it as uncharacterized. The transcript has 2 exons. NCBI's taxonomy places the organism in Eukaryota, Metazoa, Arthropoda, Insecta, Lepidoptera, Pieridae. The record is from RefSeq and is a predicted model, not a curated record.
GUUAUAGUAGCGACGUGACGUGUUGCGCGCGGAGCUAGCGAGGGCGCGCGAGCCGCAUCCUGAAGGGCCGCCAGCUUGACGAAGUACUCUAAAAGAACGUAACAAUGUCUGAUGAAGAAUUACGUCACACGAUUGCCAACAAUGGCAUAGGUCCAGAAGUAUCAGACCUUUUAUAAUACAUUUUAUAUCAGCAUAUAGACUAAAUCUGCAAUAUUUUUAUUUAAUAGCUUAAUAUUACGCAAACAAAGCUCUAUGUUCCGAAAUAGGUGCAGUAACAAUGAAUCAAGCAAAUUUAAGAGACAAAUUAAAGAUGAUUUAUAGAAAUGAAGCUUUUUUGGAAAAAUUGGUUACACUAU